UUGCAAUGAUGUAUCUGAAUUUCUUCACCUGACAAAUCAUGAAGAUUAAAUAACGAGCUUUUUAACCCUGAGCAAU
Small nucleolar RNA from Spea bombifrons (plains spadefoot toad), 76 nucleotides. The record is from RefSeq and is a predicted model, not a curated record. Lineage: Eukaryota; Metazoa; Chordata; Amphibia; Anura; Pelobatidae.